GAUGAACGCUAGCGGCAGGCCUAACACAUGCAAGUCGAGGGGUAACAGAGGUAGCUUGCUACCUGCUGACGACCGGCGCACGGGUGCGUAACGCGUAUACAAUCUACCUUUUGCUGAGGGAUAGCCCAGAGAAAUUUGGAUUAACACCUCAUGGUAUGUAAAGAUGGCAUCAUUUCUACAUUAAAGGUUACGGCAAAAGAUGAGUAUGCGUCCUAUUAGCUAGAUGGUAAGGUAACGGCUUACCAUGGCAACGAUAGGUAGGGGCCCUGAGAGGGGGAUCCCCCACACUGGUACUGAGACACGGACCAGACUCCUACGGGAGGCAGCAGUGAGGAAUAUUGGACAAUGGAGGAAACUCUGAUCCAGCCAUGCCGCGUGCAGGAAGACUGCCCUAUGGGUUGUAAACUGCUUUUAUACGGGAAGAAACCCACCUACGUGUAGGUGGCUGACGGUACCGUAAGAAUAAGGAUCGGCUAACUCCG
This 482-nucleotide ribosomal RNA is filed under the name uncultured Flavobacteriaceae bacterium. Its description in RNAcentral is "bacterial SSU rRNA". It matches the Rfam family "Bacterial small subunit ribosomal RNA", at positions 28 to 505 of the family's 1533-position model. Lineage: Bacteria; Pseudomonadati; Bacteroidota; Flavobacteriia; Flavobacteriales; Flavobacteriaceae. The record is from RNAcentral.